This 815-nucleotide long non-coding RNA is filed under the name Vigna radiata. RNAcentral describes it as "long non-coding RNA (VRAD_LNC009262)". Lineage: Eukaryota; Viridiplantae; Streptophyta; Magnoliopsida; Fabales; Fabaceae. The record is from RNAcentral.
GGAAAAAAAAUUAGAAGAAAACACUUAGAGAUAUUAGAGAUUGAGGGAGAGAGUAUAGAGAAAAUUAUGUUUUCAUAAAGCCAACUCAAACCUCUAAUCAAACAAAAUUAAUCAACUAAGCGCAUGCUAAUCACGUUUUCAGAAAAGCGGACUAAGUGAACGCAAUGUUAACAUCAAAUCUAAUUUACACCAUGCAGUUUCAUCAACUAAGAGAAGACUCAACACCAACUGGGAAACUAAGUGUAUACCCAAUUGCAAGUGCAAAUACAUAUUUAAUAAUAACCAAGUCAGAGUGGCAAUCACAUAUACAGUCCAGAAAUCUCAAAGAAGCAAUGCAAUAUCGCUAAUGACCAACGCAAUAAAUUAAGCUAUCAUGACAACUAAAUUAUCUCUACCACAAAUACAAGACAACAUUAAGACAAAAUAAAAUAAAAUACUAGACCCCAACAAGGUAACAAACAACUACCUAGUACAGUUAAAUUAAAUUAAAUGCAAAACUAAAUUAAAGAAAUCAAAAGCAGCUAAUCCUACUAAUUAAACUAAUUCAAACAAGGAAUAAUCAAACAUGCUUUUUCCUACACAUUCACGUGACCAAAGACAUCCAACCAAAUAAAAUUAAAAAUGCAAAAGGCCUAAGGAAACCUCUUGGCUGCGAGUUACCAUGCACCACAUCCAAAUUUGACUUUCUUUCUUCAUUAAACUAUUCCUUAUGCUCUCUUUUUGUCCCAUGUGCCUCAUUUUCCAAGGAAAUGUUCUCUUCCAACUUUCUCACAAUGAAAAUCGUGCGUUCCUCUCUCCAUGCAGCAAAAUAGAAU